Molecule: ribosomal RNA, 855 nt
Filed under: Acinetobacter baumannii
Lineage: Bacteria; Pseudomonadati; Pseudomonadota; Gammaproteobacteria; Moraxellales; Moraxellaceae
Description: bacterial SSU rRNA
Rfam family: Bacterial small subunit ribosomal RNA
Source: RNAcentral
UUUGAAUUCCUGGCUCAGAUUGAACGCUGGCGGCAGGCUUAACACAUGCAAGUCGAGCGGGGGAAGGUAGCUUGCUACCGGACCUAGCGGCGGACGGGUGAGUAAUGCUUAGGAAUCUGCCUAUUAGUGGGGGACAACAUCUCGAAAGGGAUGCUAAUACCGCAUACGUCCUAGGGGAGAAAGCAGGGGAUCUUCGGACCUUGCGCUAAUAGAUGAGCCUAAGUCGGAUUAGCUAGUUGGUGGGGUAAAGGCCUACCAAGGCGACGAUCUGUAGCGGGUCUGAGAGGAUGAUCCGCCACACUGGGACUGAGACACGGCCCAGACUCGUACGGGAGGCAGCAGUGGGGAAUAUUGGACAAUGGGGGGAACCCUGAUCCAGCCAUGCCGCGUGUGUGAAGAAGGCCUUAUGGUUGUAAAGCACUUUAAGCGAGGAGGAGGCUACUUUAGUUAAUACCUAGAGAUAGUGGACGUUACUCGCAGAAUAAGCACCGGCUAACUCUGUGCCAGCAGCCGCGGUAAUACAGAGGGUGCGAGCGUUAAUCGGAUUUACUGGGCGUAAAGCGUGCGUAGGCGGCUUAUUAAGUCGGAUGUGAAAUCCCCGAGCUUAACUUGGGAAUUGCAUUCGAUACUGGUGAGCUAGAGUAUGGGAGAGGAUGGUAGAAUUCCAGGUGUAGCGGUGAAAUGCGUAGAGAUCUGGAGGAAUACCGAUGGCGAAGGCAGCCAUCUGGCCUAAUACUGACGCUGAGGUACGAAAGCAUGGGGAGCAAACAGGAUUAGAUACCCUGGUAGUCCAUGCCGUAAACGAUGUCUACUAGCCGUUGGGGCCUUUGAGGCUUUAGUGGCGCAGCUAACGCG